Molecule: ribosomal RNA, 408 nt
Filed under: uncultured bacterium
Lineage: Bacteria
Description: partial 16S ribosomal RNA
Rfam family: Bacterial small subunit ribosomal RNA
Source: RNAcentral
GACGAACGCUGGCGGCGUGCUUAACACAUGCAAGUCGAACGAAGUGGCGAACGGGUGAGUAAUGCGUAAUCAACCUGCCCUUCAGAGGGGUACAACAGUGGGAAACGACUGCUAAUACCAGAUCCUGAUGGUGGGGAGGGUGGCUGAUUAGCUAGUUGGAGGGGUAACGGCCCCCCAAGGCGAUGAUCAGUAGCAGGGCUGAGAGGAUGGACGGCCACAUUGGGACUGAGACACGGCCCAGACUCCUACGGGCGGCAGCCGUGGGGAAUCUUCCGCAAUGGACGAAAGUCUGACGGAGCAACGCCGCGUGAGUGAUGACGGCCUUCGGGUUGUAAAGCUCUGUUAAUCGGGACGCGGUACCGGAAUAGAAAGCCACGGCUAACUACGUGCCAGCAGCCGCGGUAAUUC